Molecule: long non-coding RNA, 3743 nt
Filed under: Malus domestica (apple)
Lineage: Eukaryota; Viridiplantae; Streptophyta; Magnoliopsida; Rosales; Rosaceae
Description: long non-coding RNA (MDOM_LNC001131)
Source: RNAcentral
AUUACAAAAAAACAUACCUAAUAUCCAUAAAUCCCCACAUUGCAGGCAACCUGCUAACUCCAAUGUACCAAGCACUGGAAGUUCAUAACAAAACGUAGUUUGAAACACAGAAUGCCUAACAAUGGGGUGGAAAACUUCAUCUGCAGGUCAUCCAAUGGAGAUAUGCUGGUGAUGUCGUCGGAUUAGGGUCAGGCCUUGUGGGUUCGAGUAACCACCACAAUCAACAGGACCACAACGGAGAGCAUGAACGAUUUUUUCAGCCUGUCCUCAAAGCGAUUGCUGGGUUCUGCUUUCGCGUUUUCCCUGCUUGGAGGUUGAAAUAAGUCGCCGAUGAUCUUUGUAAUUUUCUCGACUGCUUCCAUGACUUUUGCCAUGGUAUUUUGAAAGAUCCACUUGACAAUGUUUGUUGCUUUAUCGUUAUCAUCAGAAUUCUCAUCUGGACUCUCGGAUUUAUUGUCUUCAUCUGCGUAUAUGAUGAAAAAAUCACAUCGAAACUAGCAUUAGUCACGAGCACAUUCCUUCAACCUUCGAGCAUUGACAAGGUAUUUCACUAGCAACUAUUACAUACUUUUCAGCUGCUUAGUAUAUUGCUCUCUUUUGGAUUUUCUAGUACAUUGCUCUAACUUAUAAUUUCAUCUAACUAAACCCAGCAAGAAAACACGUAAAAGAGGCAUCAACAUCGAACAAAAAAAGCUCGUGAAUACAGUACGAUAUUUCUCAAAUCUUGAUUCAAUGCUAGAGUAUCUUCCUUAUAAAUUCAAUGAACUGUAGUCUAUAGAAUAUAGUCCUUGCUUAUAUCCAAAUCAUACCAACCUGCAUAGAAAGAUUCCCGGAGCUCCCGCACCACCUCGUUGUUCAUCACCGCAUCCCAAACUGCUCUAUCAGAUGACAAUGAGAUCACCAUUCUCUGCACAACAAAAAACCCUUAAGACAUAAUUAUCAAAAGUUCAUAUGAGAUUAGACAAUACAAAGCAGAUGCUAUUAUAUUUCAUCCUCUGCAAUACAGAAAUUAAAAAAAGAACACCUUUCUGGAGUAAUUUGCAAAUUAAAUUUUUUUUAACAGAAUCAAUGGUCUGAAAUUCAAAAUAAAAUUCAGAAAAAAUAUAUGAAAAAAAAGACUUGUUCUGGUAAAACUAAAAUGGUCAACAAAGAAAGGGACCUGCACAGAAGACUCGGUCUGCAAGAGAUGGAAAGCAUCAUAAACUCUUUCAGACCCAUAAGACUGCAACAUCCUUGAACUAUUAGAAAGAUAGGCAGAAGGCUCCAUCCAAUCUAAUUCUGACCCAGCUGAAGAUGCUGGGUGCACAAACCCAGCAGAAGCACUUGUAAUUUGAUCAUCCACAGCUCUGUCUGACUCAGAACCAAACUUAUCCCUGAUGAAGGGACUGAUAACCCUACCAAUCACAAAACCCCAUUUCAUCAAACAAGGCGUGAUUAGUAUAAAAUUCAACAAGGCAGGCGUUAAUCUUUGUUUUUAUUCGACAAGAUGAUAAAACUAAUCUAAUUUGUGGGGUGCGAGAUUCAAACUCGAAUGCAAUAGGUCAUGCACAGCUGCCCUCACCAACGAAACCGACCCACAUCUGCCGGUGGAAAAAAUAUUUUUAUGAUAAAAUGAUAAACUAAUCUAAUUUACACGCAGGAGAAUUCAAAUAAGUACAACUGGGCAUGAAAAUUGUCUUGACCAACUGAUCUAAUUUACAUAUGCGGGCUCUAAAACACACAAAGGGUUUUUGUUAUCAGAGACAAAAGAGUAUUGAGUUGCUUACUGUUGAAGGGCAGAGACAGCACUGUGAACUUCAUCCUUGGAAGGAACAGGUCCAAGAACAAAAUCAUCAAGAAACCCAUGUGAAACUCUCUCAUCAUCCUCACUGCUAACGCCAUUAUCCACAGUCACCCAAUCAAAAUCAUCAAGGCGAGGGGAAGAAGGCCAGCCGGGCGUGGCACAAUUGGAAGCCAGAGGAUUAUUGCACGAGGCAAAAGGUGAGGUGGGUGAGGAGAGAGAGAGGUUGUGGGAAGAACUGGGCUUCUGGGUGUGCCUAGAAGUGGAAGUGGUGGUGGUGGUAUUCGCAGUAGCAGGAGAACUGGAAGAAGAAGAAGGGGUUCUUGAAUUGGUGGGCCACCAGUAACAGUUCUGGUGACUGCUGCCCUACUCACAGUCCUAAACACGCUUCCUCCUCCACCACCUCCGCCCAUGCUUCUUCCACCAAACAUCAUUGAAAUUCUUUAUGGUUUUUUUUUAUGUCAUCUGCCCGGCACAGAAUAGUUUUUCAUUAGAUUUCAUCUCCCACGAAUACGAGCUAGAUUCAAGUACCAUGAAUGAGAACAUAAUGUUCAUUUUUGUGCUUACGAUACGCAGGUUGCACCUGGUUCAGAUAGCAAGUUUGAUCAAGAUGUUGCUGUAGCCAACACUGUAGAGAAGAAAUGCACCGUUCUCGGAGAGCUACGCCAGCGAGCUGUUGUAAUUCCUGAUGUGGAUUCCCUCCUAAAUGUGAUUAACAGGAAUUGAAUGCGGAUGUCACAAAAAUUAUGUGCAUUUUGAGGUGUAAUGGGGGAAUUAUGCACAUGAGAAAGCUGGAAAUGGUAGAUAUGUAGAGGAAAAUCUUGAGGAGUAAAUAUGUUGCUAGAAUUACUGAAGCCUGAAGGUGCUAAGUGUAUGGAAAUGUAAGCGGUUGUAGGUGAAAAUUAGUAGGUCAGACAGAAAAAUUCAUCUGGUUAAACGGUUUUGCUGACUCCAUGUGGUUAAACAGUUAAUGUUUGAAGUUUUUUCAGGUGAAUCCAUCUCUUUCAGGAUAACUGUUUUUCUUUUUACUGAGUCCAUGUGGUUAAACAGUUUUAUUGUUUGCAUGGAAAGGUAUAGUGUAGAUCACUAUAUUCUAAAACGCGACCCCAAAUCAAUAAGGUUCUCUACUUUGCAAGGGUCAGGAGAGAACGUCUAUUGUACGCAGGUUUAUCAGAGGUUGUUUCCACAACUUGAACUUAUAACCUUUUGAUCACAAAAGAACAACCUUUUGUUUUGUGUCAAGGCUCGCCCUCUAACAAAGCUAUAUUUUAAUCUACUUAAAUCUACGGGUAGGGAACUCGAACUCGGAUAAAUCUACCUGUAGGGAAUUCGAACUCGAAUAAAUAGUGAUCAGACGUACUUGGCCUUUCAAGUGCAUCCCAUAAAAAGAAAAUUAACCUCAACUAUUCGGUAAUUACCGUUUCGGUUGCAAUUGUUACCAAAAGAUUCAGGUGGCAAUGCAAAAAUUUAAGAUCUCUGAAAAAAAGGUGAACUGAUAAUAUUACAAAAAAACAUACCUAAUAUCCAUAAAUCCCCACAUUGCAGGCAACCUGCUAACUCCAAUGUACCAAGCACUGGAAGUUCAUAACAAAACGUAGUUUGAAACACAGAAUGCCUAACAAUGGGGUGGAAAAAUUCAUCUGCAGGUCAUCCAAUGGAGAUAUGCUGGUGAUGUCGUCGGAUUAGGGUCAGGCCUUGUGGGUUCGAGUAACCACCACAAUCAACAGGACCACAACGGAGAGCAUGAACGAUUUUUUCAGCCUGUCCUCAAAGCGAUUGCUGGGUUCUGCUUUCGCGUUUUCCCUGCUUGGAGGUUGAAAUAAGUCGCCCAUGAUCUUUGUAAUUUUCUCGACUGCUUCCAUGACUUUUGCCAUGGUGUUUUGAAAGAUCCACUUGACAAUGUUUGUUGCUUUAUCGUUAUCAUCAGAAUUCUCAUCUGGACUCUCGGAUUUAUUGUCUUCAU